UUUUAUUUGAUGCUUGCAUCUUUUAAAAAGUUGAGUGGCUAACGGGUGAGUAACACGUGGGUAACCUGCCUUAAAGUGGGGGAUAACACUUGGAAACAGGUGCUAAUACCGCAUAGCCAUCAAAACCGCCUGGUUUUGAUGUUAAAGAUGGUUCUGCUAUCGCUUUAAGAUGGACCCGCGGCGUAUUAGCUAGUUGGUGAGGUAAUGGCUUACCAAGGCAAUGAUACGUAGCCGAACUGAGAGGUUGAUCGGCCACAUUGGGACUGAGACACGGCCCAAACUCCUACGGGAGGCAGCAGUAGGGAAUCUUCCACAAUGGACGAAAGUCUGAUGGAGCAACGCCGCGUGAGUGAAGAAGGUUUUCGGAUCGUAAAACUCUGUUGUCAGAGAAGAACGUGUGUGAGAGUAACUGUUCACGCAGUGACGGUAUCUGACCAGAAAGUCACGGCUAACUACGUGCCAGCAGCCGCGGUAAUACGUAGGUGGCAAGCGUUGUCCGGAUUUAUUGGGCGUAAAGGGAACGCAGGCGGUCUUUUAAGUCUGAUGUGAAAGCCUUCGGCUUAACCGAAGUCGGGCAUUGGAAACUGGGAGACUUGAGUGCAGAAGAGGAGAGUGGAACUCCAUGUGUAGCGGUGAAAUGCGUAGAUAUAUGGAAGAACACCAGUGGCGAAAGCGGCUCUCUGGUCUGUAACUGACGCUGAGGUUCGAAAGCGUGGGUAGCAAAACAGGAUUAGAUACCCUGGUAGUCCACGCCGUAAACGAUGAAUGCUAAGUGUUGGAGGGU
Molecule: ribosomal RNA, 784 nt
Filed under: uncultured bacterium
Lineage: Bacteria
Description: bacterial SSU rRNA
Rfam family: Bacterial small subunit ribosomal RNA
Source: RNAcentral